GGGUAGAACACUGCCAGCUGGGUUGGUUCCAAUCGCAGACGAUUUUGCUCAGGGCAACUUGCCUGAGGUUGAGAUUAUUGUUGGGGACUCCAGUAAUUUCGGUGCAGCCACACCCAAGCCUCAAGGAGAUGACCCCCUGGAUCUUUACAAGCCAAAGGUUUCUUCAUGGGGAGUCUUUCCCAGACCCAAUGACAUUUCAAAAACGUUUGGUGGUGGGUGAGUUAUACACCCCGGGGAAGUGCUUGAAACGCAGGAAGAAAAAGCUGCUAAGAAGGAGCGAACAAGACAAUUAGUUGCUGCUUACAACACUAAAAUGGGCUUGAACAUUGAUCCCAAGCUCAGAUUGGACAGUGAGAAGACAUUAAAGGAUGGUGACUCAUUGAUGAACGUCGGAAAGCUGAAGGAAGCAUUACCCUACUAUGAGAAAGUUAUGGAUAAGUUACCAUUCAAGACCAGCUCCAUGCAACAGGCCAACCUAGUCUACACUGCAUGAAGUUAGUACAUUAACAUAUCGGUACCACUGUAUGGAGUCAGUCUAGCACAGUAUCGAGCUGGUGUACUUCA
Long non-coding RNA from Rosa chinensis, 564 nucleotides. RefSeq lists it as uncharacterized. The record is from RefSeq and is a predicted model, not a curated record. NCBI's taxonomy places the organism in Eukaryota, Viridiplantae, Streptophyta, Magnoliopsida, Rosales, Rosaceae. The transcript has 4 exons.